UGUCACUGGUGUCUCCACUGUAACCUGGCCAGAGUAAUUGACUUCAGAUUUCAUGUCUGUUUCCCAAAGCUCUGGUAAUGCCUGUUUUAUGUUGUGAAUGCUUUCUAACGCAUAAUCUGCUCCUUUAGGUCUCUGGGAUGUGCCCACCUGCAGAUAUUAUUAUUCUUAGUCAUCUUCCUAUAUUCCAAGUGAUUGUUGUUUUUGUUAAUUAUUAAGAUAUUAAAUGUUUUAUACCAGCACAGUGUGAAGACCGACGCAUUUUCCUGCUUGGAUGUUGCGGACACUAUCAUCGAAGAACAACUGAAACAGCAUAAACCCCAACAUCAGUAGAUUGUAAAACCAACCAACCAUUGAAGUUGAAAAGAACAUCAUCUUACAGUUCUC
This 384-nucleotide long non-coding RNA is filed under the name Gossypium raimondii (Peruvian cotton). RNAcentral's name for it is "long non-coding RNA (GRAI_LNC010022)". Lineage: Eukaryota; Viridiplantae; Streptophyta; Magnoliopsida; Malvales; Malvaceae. The record is from RNAcentral.